GGCGAGAUGGCCGAGCGGUCUAAGGCGCUGGAAUCAGGUGGCUACGUAAAAAAACACAAACACCCAUCCAGUCCGAAAGGGCGGGGGUUCGAAUCCCCCUCUCGUCA
Rickenella mellea is the source of this 107-nucleotide non-coding RNA. Lineage: Eukaryota; Fungi; Basidiomycota; Agaricomycetes; Hymenochaetales; Rickenellaceae. The record is from the annotation of a GenBank genome assembly.